GACGAACGCUGGCGGCGUGCCUAAUACAUGCAAGUAGAACGCACAGUUUAUACCGUAGCUUGCUACACCAUAGACUGUGAGUUGCGAACGGGUGAGUAACGCGUAGGUAACCUGCCUGGUAGCGGGGGAUAACUAUUGGAAACGAUAGCUAAUACCGCAUAAUAUUAAUUAUUGCAUGAUAAUUAAUUGAAAGGUGCAAUUGCAUCACUACCAGAUGGACCUGCGUUGUAUUAGCUAGUAGGUGAGGUAACGGCUCACCUAGGCGACGAUACAUAGCCGACCUGAGAGGGUGAUCGGCCACACUGGGACUGAGACACGGCCCAGACUCCUACGGGAGGCAGCAGUAGGGAAUCUUCGGCAAUGGACGAAAGUCUGACCGAGCAACGCCGCGUGAGUGAAGAAGGUUUUCGGAUCGUAAAGCUCUGUUGUAAGAGAAGAACGGGUGUGAGAGUGGAAAGUUCACACUGUGACGGUAUCUUACCAGAAAGGGACGGCUAACUACGUG
This 505-nucleotide ribosomal RNA is filed under the name uncultured bacterium. RNAcentral's name for it is "partial 16S ribosomal RNA". It matches the Rfam family "Bacterial small subunit ribosomal RNA", at positions 28 to 507 of the family's 1533-position model. The record is from RNAcentral.